GGAAUUUUGGACAAUGGGCGAAAGCCUGAUCCAGCAAUGCCGCGUGAGUGAAGAAGGCCUUCGGGUUGUAAAGCUCUUUUGUCAGGGAAGAAACGGUGAGGGCUAAUAUCCUUCGCUAAUGACGGUACCUGAAGAAUAAGCACCGGCUAACUACGUGCCAGCAGCCGCGGUAAUACGUAGGGUGCAAGCGUUAAUCGGAAUUACUGGGCGUAAAGCGUGCGCAGGCGGUUUUGUAAGUCUGACGUGAAAUCCCCGGGCUCAACCUGGGAAUUGCGUUGGAGACUGCAAGGCUAGAAUCUGGCAGAGGGGGGUAGAAUUCCACGUGUAGCAGUGAAAUGCGUAGAGAUGUGGAGGAACACCGAUGGCGAAGGCAGCCCCCUGGGUCAAGAUUGACGCUCAUGCACGAAAGCGUGGGGAGCAAACAGGAUUAGAUACCCUGG
Molecule: ribosomal RNA, 440 nt
Filed under: uncultured Massilia sp.
Lineage: Bacteria; Pseudomonadati; Pseudomonadota; Betaproteobacteria; Burkholderiales; Oxalobacteraceae
Description: bacterial SSU rRNA
Rfam family: Bacterial small subunit ribosomal RNA
Source: RNAcentral